This 459-nucleotide ribosomal RNA is filed under the name uncultured bacterium. Its description in RNAcentral is "partial 16S ribosomal RNA". It matches the Rfam family "Bacterial small subunit ribosomal RNA", at positions 338 to 795 of the family's 1533-position model. The record is from RNAcentral.
CCUACGGUAGGCAGCAGUGAGGAAUAUUGGUCAAUGGGCGGAAGCCUGAACCAUCCAAGUAGCGUGCGGGAUGAAGGCCCUACGGGUCGUAAACCGCUUUUGCACGGGGAUAACACCCUCCACUUGUGGAGGUCUGCAGGUACCGUGCGAAUAAGGGCCGGCUAAUUCCGUGCCAGCAGCGGCGGUAAUACGGAAGGCCCGAGCGUUAUCCGGAUUCAUUGGGCUUAAAGGGAGCGUAGGCGGGCGUUCAAGUCAGCUGUAAAAUCGCGUGGCUCAACCGCGCCCCGCAGUUGAAACUGGACGCCUUGAGUUCACAACAGGCAGGCGGAAUUCGUGGUGUAGCGGUGAAAUGCAUAGAUAUCACGAGGAACCCCGAUUGCGAAGGCAGCCUGCCGGGGUGCGACUGACGCUGAGGCUCGAAGGUGCGGGUAUCAAACAGGAUUAGAUAUCCUAGUAGUC